Molecule: non-coding RNA, 72 nt
Submitted as: unclassified sequences
Source: Rfam
ACAAUGAUACUCCCGUCUUCUGAUUGCAGGGGGCGGCUCGGAGCGUUCCUCGGAGGGGUGAGAUUCCCGUGA